UGGGGAAUUUUGGACAAUGGGGGAAACCCUGAUCCAGCCAUCCCGCGCGUGCGAUGAAGGCCUUCGGGUUGUAAAGCACUUUUGGCAGGAAAGAAACGUCAUGGGUUAAUACCCCGUGAAACUGACGGUACCUGCAGAAUAAGCACCGGCUAACUACGUGCCAGCAGCCGCGGUAAUACGUAGGGUGCAAGCGUUAAUCGGAAUUACUGGGCGUAAAGCGUGCGCAGGCGGUUCGGAAAGAAAGAUGUGAAAUCCCAGAGCUCAACUUUGGAACUGCAUUUUUAACUACCGUGCUAGAGUGUGUCAGAGGGAGGUGGAAUUCCGCGUGUAGCAGUGAAAUGCGUAGAUAUGCGGAGGAACACCGAUGGCGAAGGCAGCCUCCUGGGAUAACACUGACGCUCAUGCACGAAAGCGUGGGGAGCAAACAGG
Molecule: ribosomal RNA, 429 nt
Filed under: Acidobacteriota bacterium
Lineage: Bacteria; Pseudomonadati; Acidobacteriota
Description: Acidobacteria bacterium partial 16S ribosomal RNA
Rfam family: Bacterial small subunit ribosomal RNA
Source: RNAcentral